UACGGAGGGUGCAAGCGUUGUCCGGAAUCAUUGGGUGUAAAGGGCGCGUAGGCGGGCGCCUAAGUCUGUGGUGAAAUCUUGCCGCUUAACGGUAAAAUGGCCAUAGAUACUGGGUUUCUUGAGUAAAGAAGAGGCCGGUGGAAUUCGUAGUGUAGCGGUGAAAUGCAUAGAUAUUACGAAGAACACCAGUGGCGAAGGCGGCCGACUGGUCCGUUACUGACGCUGAGGCACGAGAGCGUGGGGAGCGAACAGG
This 253-nucleotide unclassified non-coding RNA is filed under the name uncultured Bacteroidota bacterium. Its description in RNAcentral is "uncultured Bacteroidetes bacterium contains 16S-23S intergenic spacer region". It matches the Rfam family "Bacterial small subunit ribosomal RNA", at positions 524 to 776 of the family's 1533-position model. Lineage: Bacteria; Pseudomonadati; Bacteroidota. The record is from RNAcentral.